Molecule: ribosomal RNA, 767 nt
Filed under: uncultured bacterium
Lineage: Bacteria
Description: bacterial SSU rRNA
Rfam family: Bacterial small subunit ribosomal RNA
Source: RNAcentral
UUUCAAAACUGCAUCCCUUGAGUAUCGGAGAGGCAAGCGGAAUUCCUAGUGUAGCGGUGAAAUGCGUAGAUAUUAGGAGGAACACCAGUGGCGAAGGCGGCUUGCUGGACGACAACUGACGCUGAGGCGCGAAAGCGUGGGGAGCAAACAGGAUUAGAUACCCUGGUAGUCCACGCUGUAAACGAUGAAUACUAGGUGUGGGAGGACUGACCCCUUCCGUGCCGCAGUUAACACAAUAAGUAUUCCACCUGGGGAGUACGACCGCAAGGUUGAAACUCAAAGGAAUUGACGGGGGCCCGCACAAGCAGUGGAUUAUGUGGUUUAAUUCGACGCAACGCGAAGAACCUUACCAGGAUUUGACAUCCAACUAACGAAGCAGAGAUGCAUUAGGUGCCCUUCGGGGAAAGUUGAGACAGGUGGUGCAUGGUUGUCGUCAGCUCGUGUCGUGAGAUGUUGGGUUAAGUCCCGCAACGAGCGCAACCCCUAUUGUUAGUUGCUACGAAAGAGCACUCUAGCGAGUCUGCCGUUGACAAAACGGAGGAAGGCGGGGGACGACGUCAAAUCAUCAUGCCCCUUAUGUCCUGGGCUACACACGUAAUACAAUGGUGGUAAACAGAGAGAAGCACAACCGCGAGAUAGAGCAAAUCCCUAAAAGCCAUCUCAGUUCGGAUAGCAGGCUGCAACUCUCCUGCAUGAAGCUGGGAAUUGCUAGUAAUCGCGGGAUCAGCAUGCCGCGGGUGAAUACGUUCUCGGGGCGUUGUACACAC